This 75-nucleotide transfer RNA is filed under the name Mycoplasmatota bacterium. RNAcentral describes it as "Tenericutes bacterium tRNA-Gln". It matches the Rfam family "tRNA". From Rfam's summary of the family: Transfer RNA (tRNA) molecules are approximately 80 nucleotides in length. Lineage: Bacteria; Bacillati; Mycoplasmatota. The record is from RNAcentral.
UGCCCCUUAGCCAAGCGGUAAGGCAACGGUUUUUGGUAUCGUCAUGCGUUGGUUCGAAUCCAACAGGGGCAGCCA